CUACGUGCCAGCAGCCGCGGUAAUACGGAGGGUGCGAGCGUUAAUCGGAAUAACUGGGCGUAAAGGGCACGCAGGCGGUGACUUAAGUGAGGUGUGAAAGCCCCGGGCUUAACCUGGGAAUUGCAUUUCAUACUGGGUCGCUAGAGUACUUUAGGGAGGGGUAGAAUUCCACGUGUAGCGGUGAAAUGCGUAGAGAUGUGGAGGAAUACCGAAGGCGAAGGCAGCCCCUUGGGAAUGUACUGACGCUCAUGUGCGAAAGCGUGGGGAGCAAACAGGAUUAGAUACCCUGGUAGUCCACGCUGUAAACGCUGUCGAUUUGGGGAUUGGGCUUUAAGCUUGGUGCCCGUAGCUAACGUGAUAAAUCGACCGCCUGGGGAGUACGGCCGCAAGGUUAAAACUCAAAUGAAUUGACGGGGGCCCGCACAAGCGGUGGAGCAUGUGGUUUAAUUCGAUGCAACGCGAAGAACCUUACCUACUCUUGACAUCCAUGGAAUCUUGUAGAGAUACGGGAGUGCA
Molecule: ribosomal RNA, 516 nt
Filed under: uncultured bacterium
Lineage: Bacteria
Description: bacterial SSU rRNA
Rfam family: Bacterial small subunit ribosomal RNA
Source: RNAcentral